GUGGUGGAGCAUCAUUACCCUGCCAGGGUUCGGUGGAGCGUUGCGUGAAGCGUCUGUGUCUCUGCGAGAUCUUGCUGUGGGCCAGGUAUCCAUUCUCCUGCGGCAGCUUAGACCCUACGGAGACUAGAGGUCCGUGGGUGGUGGAGGAUCCUUUGCGUAGCAAAAAAGGAAGGCGAGUGCUCCUGCAUCCUCUCCAGACGGUACCCAGAACAUCCACCAUUAUUAGAACCAUCACCCUGCAGCUAGCUUGGACAUCAUUAAAAGGGCUCAUCAGAAGUAUCUGAUAUUCAUGAAGACAGAGUUUCAGGGUUUUCUGCCUGGAGCUACACCCUCCAGGAGCCCCUGCUUGGCUUCCCUUGCACCCAGCCCCAUCCCAACCAGUUACAACUUGGGCUGUGCAUGGUGUUUCUUGGAAACUGGAACACAGACUCCUCCGACUGCUCUCCAGGCCCUUUGUCCUCAAUGAGCAGAAGACCACAGAAGCUGGCUACUGAAGAAACUGUCCAGAUAGCAGAGCAUCUCACUGGCCUUGCUUAGCACCUUUACUACAGAGCAGUCUCUGAGUACUGACCACCUGCAGGGAC
This 584-nucleotide long non-coding RNA is filed under the name Mus pahari (shrew mouse). RNAcentral's name for it is "lncRNA (MGP_PahariEiJ_G0006513.1)". Lineage: Eukaryota; Metazoa; Chordata; Mammalia; Rodentia; Muridae. The record is from RNAcentral.